GUGAAUCAUCAAAUUUUUGAACGCAAAUUGCACUCUCCGGUUUUCCGGGAGAGUAUGCCUGUUUGAGGGUCAGCCUAAAAAAGAUCGACAUUGUUGCUGUUAUUUAAUGGUGACUUUCGUCGGAGAUUGGGUUAUCUUAAACCUUUUUUUUUUUUGUUUUAGCCGCUUAAAAUUUUUUUUUACCGAUUCCUUGAACGUUUCAAAGUUUUUUUUUCUUUUUCCUUU
RNAcentral lists this unclassified non-coding RNA (225 nucleotides) under Glomus sp. RNAcentral's name for it is "partial contains 5.8S ribosomal RNA and internal transcribed spacer 2". The stretch from base 1 to 72 matches the Rfam family "5.8S ribosomal RNA", at positions 84 to 154 of the family's 154-position model. The record is from RNAcentral. Lineage: Eukaryota; Fungi; Glomeromycota; Glomeromycetes; Glomerales; Glomeraceae.